GAUGAAGAACGCAGCGAAAUGCGAUACGUAAUGUGAAUUGCAGAAUUCAGUGAAUCAUCGAAUCUUUGAACGCACAUUGCGCCUGCCAGCACUCUGGCAGGCAUGCCUGUUCGAGCGUCAUUUCAACCAUCAAGCCCUAGGCUUGCGUUGGAGCCCUGCGGCUGCCGCAGGCCCCUAAAAGCAGUGGCGGGCUCGCUAUCACACCGAGUGCAGUAGAUUACUCUUCGCUCAGGGCGUGUGGCGGGUUCCAGCCGUGAAACCCCUACUUCUCAAGGUCGACCUCGGAUCAGGUAGGAAUACCCGCUGAACUUAAGCAUAUCAAUAAGCGGAGGA
This 333-nucleotide unclassified non-coding RNA is filed under the name soil metagenome. RNAcentral describes it as "partial contains 5.8S ribosomal RNA, internal transcribed spacer 2, and large subunit ribosomal RNA". The stretch from base 1 to 120 matches the Rfam family "5.8S ribosomal RNA", at positions 35 to 154 of the family's 154-position model. The record is from RNAcentral.